GUGGGGAAUAUUGGGCAAUGGGCGCAAGCCUGACCCAGCAACGCCGCGUGAAGGAAGAAGGCUUUCGGGUUGUAAACUUCUUUUACCAGGGACGAAAAAAAUGACGGUACCUGGAGAAUAAGCCACGGCUAACUACGUGCCAGCAGCCGCGGUAAUACGUAGGUGGCAAGCGUUGUCCGGAUUUACUGGGUGUAAAGGGCGCGUAGGCGGGAGAGCAAGUCAGGAGUGAAAUCUAUGGGCUUAACCCAUAAAUUGCUUUUGAAACUGUUUUUCUUGAGUGAUGGAGAGGCAAGCGGAAUUCCUAGUGUAGCGGUGAAAUGCGUAGAUAUUAGGAGGAACACCAGUGGCGAAGGCGGCUUGCUGGACAUUAACUGACGCUGAUGCGCGAAAGCGUGGGGAGCAAACAGGAUUAGAAACCCGUGUAGUCC
RNAcentral lists this ribosomal RNA (428 nucleotides) under uncultured bacterium. RNAcentral describes it as "partial 16S ribosomal RNA". It matches the Rfam family "Bacterial small subunit ribosomal RNA", at positions 354 to 796 of the family's 1533-position model. The record is from RNAcentral.